Molecule: ribosomal RNA, 469 nt
Filed under: uncultured bacterium
Lineage: Bacteria
Description: partial 16S ribosomal RNA
Rfam family: Bacterial small subunit ribosomal RNA
Source: RNAcentral
GAUGAACGCUGGCGGCGUGCUUAACACAUGCAAGUCGAACGGAAAGGCCCUGCUUGCAGGGUGCUCGAGUGGCGAACGGGUGAGUAACACGUGGGUGAUCUGCCCCUUACUUUGGGAUAAGCCUGGGAAACUGGGUCUAAUACUGGAUAGGACCAUGCUGUAGGUGGUGUGGUGGAAAGAUUAGUUUCGGUAAGGGAUGAGCUCGCGGCCUAUCAGCUUGUUGGUGGGGUAAUGGCCUACCAAGGCGUCGACGGGUAGCCGGCCUGAGAGGGUGGACGGCCACAUUGGGACUGAGAUACGGCCCAGACUCCUACGGGAGGCAGCAGUGGGGAAUAUUGCACAAUGGGCGCAAGCCUGAUGCAGCGACGCCGCGUGGGGGAUGACGGCCUUCGGGUUGUAAACUCCUUUCAGCCAUGACGAAGCCCUUGUGGUGACGGUAGUGGUAGAAGAAGCACCGGCUAACUACGUG